CGAUAGAAUGAUCGUCGUCGCCGGUGGCCACGACGACGAAAAGAAUGCUUUGAUAUCAGCGCUCUCAUACGACGUCGUUAAAGACGAGUGGGUUACACUUCCUGAUAUGGUCAUGGAGAGAGACGAAUGUAAGGUUGUAUAUCACAAAGGUAAAUUCCACGUCAUCGGCGGUUAUCCUACGUGGGCGCAAGGUCACUUUGAGAAUG
RNAcentral lists this unclassified non-coding RNA (206 nucleotides) under Hevea brasiliensis (rubber tree). The record is from RNAcentral. Lineage: Eukaryota; Viridiplantae; Streptophyta; Magnoliopsida; Malpighiales; Euphorbiaceae.